AAGGCACUAGUAAAAUGCUAUAACAUUGCCUUGUCAAGACAAAAUUGUGGGUUAAAAUCCCACGUGCCUUG
This 71-nucleotide transfer RNA is filed under the name Anisotremus scapularis. RNAcentral's name for it is "tRNA-Asp". It matches the Rfam family "tRNA". Rfam says of the family: Transfer RNA (tRNA) molecules are approximately 80 nucleotides in length. Their secondary structure includes four short double-helical elements and three loops (D, anti-codon, and T loops). Lineage: Eukaryota; Metazoa; Chordata; Actinopteri; Lutjaniformes; Haemulidae. The record is from RNAcentral.